GGCAGCGCGGCUCGGGGUAUAUAGGGGCGCGCACGGGCGGAGCGCGCAGAGCGCGGCGCGGCGCCAAGCGGUGAGGAGCUGGGGUGCGGGCCGGCGGGACCGCACCGCCGCGUGUCCCUGCGCCUGCAGCGCUGCAAAACUGCUGGGAAAUGGUCACGGUGCUGCCCCAGCCGCGGCCGGGGUGCAGGGAGCGCGCCGGGAAGGCGAUCCAGGGGCUGCGGUAGCGCCCGGCGCGGUCUGAAAAUCAUUCGGGGCCUGCUGUGGCCCCGGGUUCCCGGCGCUGAUUCACGGCGAUCCCGUCCCCAGGAGCUGUGGAGAGCGCGGGGCUGCCGGGAGGCACAGCUGGGAGCGGCUCGGUUUUGUAUUUCGAUGUGCAAUAAAAUACGAAGUGCUGUAAAGAUG
Molecule: long non-coding RNA, 402 nt
Organism: Passer montanus (Eurasian tree sparrow)
Lineage: Eukaryota; Metazoa; Chordata; Aves; Passeriformes; Passeridae
Exons: 2
Source: RefSeq, a predicted model, not a curated record